RNA transcript from Mustela lutreola (European mink), 2739 nucleotides. It is a transcript of the gene named histone H4 transcription factor, with no coding region annotated. Lineage: Eukaryota; Metazoa; Chordata; Mammalia; Carnivora; Mustelidae. The record is from RefSeq and is a predicted model, not a curated record. The transcript has 11 exons.
UCGCGCACGGUUUCCGUCAGUCGCAGCGGCCAUUGGCUGUUAGAGGGAUUUAAGAGCGGCGAUUGGCUCUCGCUGGCCGUCGCUCAAGCGCCCUUCCGGAGAUGGUUCGAGGUGGGAAGAGCUGGAGAGAGCCGGCGGCGGAGGGACGGGUGAAGGCCAUGCCACCCCCGGCGAAAGUUCUCCGAAAGGAGAACCUGGGGCUCCAGUGCGAGUGGGGGUCCUGCUCCUUUGUGUGCUCAGCCAUGGAGGAGUUCUGCGAGCAUGUCACUCAGCACCUGCAGCAGCACCUGCACGGCUCCGGGGAGGAGGAGGAGGAGGAGGAGGACCCACUUGAGGAGGAAUUCUCCUGCUUGUGGCAGGAGUGUGGCUUUUGUUCUAUGGACAGUUCAGCUGACCUCAUCCGCCACGUUUACUUCCACUGCUACCACACCAAGCUGAAGCAGUGGGGGCUGCAGGCCCUGCAGAGCCAGGCCAACCUCAGCCCCUGCAUCCUGGACUUCCAGAGCCGCAACAUCAUCCCCGACAUCCCUGACCACUUCCUGUGUCUGUGGGAGCACUGUGAGAGUUCCUUCGACAAUCCUGAGUGGUUCUAUCGGCACGUGGAAGCGCACAGCCUAUGCUGUGAGUACCAGGCGAUCGGCAAGGACAACCAUGUGGUGCUGUGUGGCUGGAAAGGCUGUACCUGCACCUUCAAGGACUGCCGGAAGCUUCGAGAGCACCUCCGCAGCCAUACCCAGGAAAAGGUGGUGGCCUGCCCCACCUGUGGGGGCAUGUUUGCCAACAACACUAAGUUCUUAGAUCACAUCCGUCGCCAGACCUCUUUGGAUCAGCAGCGCUUCCAGUGCUCUCACUGUUCCAAGAGAUUUGCCACAGAGCGGCUCUUGCGGGACCAUAUGCGUAACCACGUGAAUCACUAUAAGUGCCCUCUAUGUGAUAUGACCUGUCCGCUGCCAUCCUCCCUCCGAAACCACAUGCGCUUUCGCCACAGCGAGGACCGGCCCUUCAAGUGUGACUGUUGUGACUACAGCUGCAAGAAUCUGAUUGACCUGCGGAAGCACCUGGAUACCCACAGCAAAGAGCCAGCCUACAGGUGUGAUUUUGAGAACUGCAGCUUCAGUGCGCGAUCCCUCUGCUCUAUCAAGUCCCAUUACCGAAAAGUGCAUGAAGGAGACUCAGAGCCAAGGUACAAGUGUCAUGUGUGUGACAAAUGCUUCACAAGGGGCAACAACCUCACUGUACAUCUUCGUGAGAAGCACCAGUUCAAGUGGCCCUCAGGGCACCCCCGUUUUCGGUACAAGGAGCAUGAAGACGGCUACAUGCGGCUGCAGCUGGUUCGCUACGAGAGUGUGGAGCUGACACAGCAGCUGCUUCGGCAGCCGCAAGAGGGAUCAGGCCUGGGAGCGUCGCUGAAUGAGACCAGCCUGCAGGGCAUCAUUCUCGAAGCAGUGCCGGGGGAGCCAGGACCCCAGGAGGAGGCUGAAGAGGAGGGGGAGGGCGGGAGCAGCCAGGGGACAGGCCUCCCAGCCUCUCAGGACACUCCCAGCCCCGUCAUCCAUGUGGUGAAUCAGACCAAUGCCCAAGGCGAGCAAGAGAUUGUCUACUAUGUGCUGUCGGAAGCCCCGGGAGAGCCCCCCCCAGCCCCUGAGUCCCCCUCAGGGGACGUCAUGGAAAAGCUUCAGGGAAUAGCUGAGGAGCCAGAAGGGUUGGUGUGAAGGCUACGGAGCCUGACUGUUUCCACCCCAGGCCCCAGGGUUUGUGCCGGUCUGCUGGCUGUGCCCCGAGCGGGCAGCCCCUGCCGAUGGAGGCCUUUAAGAGUGGUGCCAAGAGCAGUGCGGUGUGCUCUGGACCCGGCCUGUGUCAUGCAGCAGACUCUGAAGGCUUCCCUUUUCUGCCGGACCACAUGUGUUGGGGGAUCCUGAGGAGUCUGGAUUCCUUGAGGAGGAUGCCCUGGUCCUGUGUGUUCUUGUAGAGGGGCUAGUAUCAGGCUUACCCGUAACCCCCAGUCAUGCUGAGAUGGUGACCAAAAUUCUGUCACCUCGUACCCAGUCCCGUCUUUAAGGGUCCUUAGGUCCAGCGAUGCCGUGUAACUGGUCCCUGCAAGGGCCUUUUCCUCAAAACCAGCCAAGGCAGCGUGAGCCAGUGAGGAGAUGCAGCUGCCCGGAAGAGGAGCUGAAUCGUUCGGCUUGUUCUUCUAGUGACUGAGGUUCAUUUAACUUUCUUCUUGUUCCCCUCCCCCCACCCCUUGGUGAAACUUCUCCAUUUCUUCAAGCAUCUACCGCCUUCCUGGAGGUCCCGUUUGUGGACACAAGUAGUGCUCUAGAAUGCGCACGCGCGCCUCAUCAGGAAAAGAGCACCUGGCUGCAGACAUGCCCUCUGAGUUCUGGUUAGAUACCCAGUAUCUCUGGUGGAGGGGUUUCCACCUGUGGGACUGGGAGGGAAGCCUCUAGGUGGGCGGGGGGAGGUGGAUCUGGGGGCCCUAGGGAAUGGCAGGUACUCUAGUUUUAGGAACCAAGUUAGAAAAGGGGGAAGGGGGCGCCUGGGUGGCUCAGUGAGUUAAGCCACUGCCUUCGGCUCAGGUCAUGACCUCAGGGUCCUGGGAUCGAGUCCCGCAUGGGGCUCUCUGCUCAGCAGGGAGCCUGCUUCCCUCUCUCUGCCUGCCUCUCUACUGUGAUCUCUGUGAAAUAAAUAAAUAAAAUCUUUGAAAAAAAAUAAUAAAAGGGGGAAAGGUUCUGUUUUUCA